This 73-nucleotide transfer RNA is filed under the name Ictidomys tridecemlineatus (thirteen-lined ground squirrel). Its description in RNAcentral is "Spermophilus tridecemlineatus (thirteen-lined ground squirrel) tRNA". It matches the Rfam family "tRNA". From Rfam's summary of the family: Transfer RNA (tRNA) molecules are approximately 80 nucleotides in length. RNAcentral also lists the same sequence under 1 other name. The record is from Rfam by way of RNAcentral. Lineage: Eukaryota; Metazoa; Chordata; Mammalia; Rodentia; Sciuridae.
UGGGAUGUAGCUCAGUUGGUAGAGUACUUGCCUCACAUGCACAAGGCCAUGGGUUCAAUCCCCAGCACCACAC